CGGCAGACGGGUGAGUAAUACUUGGGCAAUCUACCCUUAAGUGGGGGACAACCUGCCGAAAGGCGGGCUAAUACCCCAUAAGACCACAGGAGUGCAUAUUCCAGGGGUCAAAGCUCCGCAAGGGGCGCUAAAGGAGGAGCCCGAGUCCUAUCAUGGUAGUUGGCGGGGUAACGGCCCACCAAGCCGUUGACGGGUAGCCGGCCUGAAAGGGCAACCGGCCACACUGGCACUGAGACACGGGCCAG
Molecule: ribosomal RNA, 245 nt
Filed under: uncultured bacterium
Lineage: Bacteria
Description: partial 16S ribosomal RNA
Rfam family: Bacterial small subunit ribosomal RNA
Source: RNAcentral